CCUGGAUAUGAAAGGGGAUACUUUCCUUGGUGGUAGUCCCAGUGAAGACCCACUGAACAUCGUCAGCCUCAAAAUGUAAGCUGUGCUGUCAUCUGCUUUGUGGAACACAUAUGCUACACAUCUUCUCCUUUCAAUUGGGCUGAAGUUGGGGCACAGUUAAAGAGCAUUAUAAAGCUCCUGCUUUAGCAUGAACUUAGUUAUCUAUAGAAAAAAACAUGUACAAGGACACUGGGCUGUGGGGAGCAUUGCUCUCCCUCCAUUCCUGAGUGCUCUUAAUGGGAUUAUCCUGGCUUUCCAAAACCCUAUAGAGAAGAAGCUCAUAGAAGAAAAUUCUCUUACUGAAUCAGUAAAAUAUGGAAAAUAAUGGGACUGUUUAUUAAAGGAUUGAAUGAGAGAACACAAGUAAUGCACUUAGAAGAGUGACUGGCAUACAGUGCUGGCUUCUCAACCAUGAUAGCCUGAAAUGUACCCGGAAAAUGGGGGCUAAUGUAAGUCAUAUUUAGAGAAGUUAUUUUGGGGGACAAUGUUUUUGACAAGACUACAUUUUUCAUUAUGUUGCUGUCUGUAAACAACUGUAGAUGCAGACUUGCAUUUUGAAAGGCAAGACCCAAAACACACAAACAGAGUAAAUACCUUUAAAAUGCCUCGAUCGCUGGAGAAAUGCCUGGAUGGACCUACCUGAGGGCAGACGCCACUGCCCAAAUUUCCUCUGGGGUUUCCCUGCGUCGGCUGCAUCUUGCCGACUUCCUCCUCGAUCCGACAGCGUGGGGCUCAGGAGCUGCUGCUGGCUGCUUGUCUGCAUGGGAGGAGAAGCACACAGUUACCGUCUUUUUAACCCUGCGCUCUCCUCCUUUUACUAUAAGAAAGGAAAACACAUGGCAGGAGGACAAGUGGGAAGAACAACAUGGACUCAGAGUGUCCACAAUGGGGAAAAGUGAAAAUGGGUAUAAAGGGUCACAGAAGAAAAAGAGCCACCACUGCACGCCCUGCUGAAGGAGACACCACUCUUCCUGGGACAUCUUGUCCUGGGUAACCCCCACUGCUUCGUUCCCCUCCAUGCCUGAGAAUGUCAUUGUUUCCCUUCAUAUCUUCGCUGGCAAACCAGGGGGUAAGGAAGGGGAACUGCAGGAAGGAAGGUGGGGCAGUGGGGACGGGCUGGGCGGGGGCAGUCUACUGUCACCAGCCUGGAGAUCCACACUUAGAGCUUCAGGGAAAGAGUUCUCUGCAGGCAAAGCUGUAUGAUGGGCCCUGGUGGAGGAUGGAGCUGAUAACAAUCUAAGCUACAGUGAAAGAAAGAGAGAUGCCAAGACUUCCCACACAUUUCACCUGUUCUCAGGUUCACCUGUCACCUCUCCCUUUCCUAACAAAAGCCUUGGUCUUCACAUCUCUUUAGUAUCCUUUUUUUUUUUUUUUUGUCACCUCUUUCUUUCUUAGGCUUUUUCAUCUAAAAACAGAGGGCUCUGAAAUCAUCACUUUCCCCAACCUCAUUAGCCCUGUCUCACUGUCUGUCCUGACUUCAGCCUGCCUCCCUCUCCCAUGCGAGACAUUGCCAACCAUCUUCAGGGUGACCAGUGGCAAGGCCACUGCAGAUGCCUCCCCUUGCCCCUUGGUUGACUAACUCCGCAGAAGUCCCUGCAGUCGGUGGCAGAUGAUUUCUAAAGGCUGGGGAGCCCAAAACAUGAGAUCUACUGAAAACUGAGCUAUGGCACCAGUGGGCCUCCUGGAGCACCCUGCUGGGCCGUGGAGCCUUAGGCUUCCAAAGGUACUCUGGCCCCUGGCUGCGUUGCUGCACACCAUGGAGCCUGGUGCUGCUGGGGGCUCUGCACAGAGCACGGGAUCAGCUCCACGUUGUUAACCUCAAAUCGUAAUUGCUGCCUCAUAAAGGGGCAGGUCCUCCCAGCCAGCUGCUUCUCACAGCACAGGACUCUCCAGGACGCUGAUAACUCCUUGUACUUUUUUAUAUAGACACAUACAUAGAGUUUGAAAAUGAAAAUAUGCUGUGACUUAAUAAAUAGAAACUCCUCAAGCCAAUUGUCCUGAAUUCCAUAUGUUCUUCUGAUACCCAACCAGGAAAGGAUAUAUCUUCAAUGAGUCUGAUUAUUUAAGGAGGUUGAAAGCUAAUUACAAACAUUUUCACUGAUUUUACUGCAAAUUUCUAUGACUUUAGAGAAGGGAGGAAAAUAUUUAGGGCAGAGCUUCCUGUAAACCAUACUCCAUGUAAUAUACCCAGAUUCAAAUGCAGCCCUUAGAGCUGAUGUUAACUCUUUAGACAAAAAUAAAACUACAGAAUUAUGAAGUUCAGGGCAUUCACUUUUUUUGGCAUUCAUAUGAGUCAGACUCUUUUUAAAUAACCUCAACUGCAUCCAAGAUGGCAAAGACAUAGACAUAAUCUGGAUCAAUGGAUUUCCGUUGCCUUUUUUUUUUUUAAUGAAAAUAUUCCUAUUAGAAAUAUUGUCACCUUGUUUGAAUGAUCUGACCAGCACCCAUUUUAUUUAUUUUUAUUAAAAGAAAGAAGCCCACAGAGUGUCCUGGGACAGAGGACGCCUCGUGCCCAUACCUCAGGUUGCAUGCUGUUGUCCUGACUGUUGGCAUUCGUGUCCUCACUGGGCUGGGUGGUCUCGAUGCUGGGCGGGUUCAGAAACCGGCUCAGCUCUUGCUGCUGACUCUCUCUCAGGCUGUGGAUGAUACUGCACGACUGCUGCUGUUUCUAUGGAAAUGCGAUUGUUUGUUCAGUAAAAUAAGCCCAGCAUCCUGCCUGCCCCACCGCCACACAAAUCUUAUUUUCUUCUCCCCUCUCCUAAGACCUGCAUGACGGGUGACCUCUUAGGAAUUUCCAAGUAAGGAUCCUGAACUAAUUUCAAUGUUCAAUUAAGGUAGGCUGAUGCAAAGGUGGGCUUAGAGAGGUAUGCAUUGACUUCCCAGUCCAUUUUCAUUUGUGUAACAAUCAGAAUAGUGACGGUCAUUGAUGCUUGUAUUUUAUUUAUUUGUUUUUCUUUUUGUUGUUGGUGUUUUCUGUUUUUUUUUUUUUUUUUUUAGAUAGGAUCUCACUAUGUCCCGUAGACUAGAGUUCAGUGGUGCGAUUAUUAUAGCUCACUGUAACCUUAAACUCCUAGGCUCAAGCUAUGCUCCUGCCUCAGCCUCCUGAGAAGCUGAGACUAAAAGUGUGCAUGACUGUGGCUGGCUAAUUAAUUUUUUUUUUUUUUUUUUUUUUUCAGAGAGGAGGUCUCACUCUGUUGCCCAAGCUAGUUUCAAACUUCUGGUCUUAAGCGAUCCUCCCGCCUCAGUUUCCCAAUGUGCUGGGAUUACAGGCAUGAGACACUGUGCCCAGCUUAUGUCUUAUUUAAAAUUACUAAUGUGGCUAUUCUAUUUUUUCUCCUCUUAUUUUAUUCUAGGCUCAUUAAGCCAAUACAAUCCCAACCCCUUUCCCACUUUCCUGCAAGUUGUAAGAGGCAAAGAGCCUUGGGUGGAUGAGAAAACCUUUGUGCUUGUCUUGGUUCUGAAGUUUUCAGGUCAAUCCAGGAGACCAAUCUGUCUCGGCAUAUACUAAAGCCAGGACUCCUUGUGCCCUCUCAGAGCCAGAGGAGGACAGAUUGAUCCCUGGAGCUAACAUAGCUACAGUGGCCAGCAGUGAUGGGACAUCACUGGGCAGCUGGCCUUGCUAUAGGAGGUUGAGUUGUAUCUUUUCUCUGGGAACCUUUUCUCCUCCAAUAGAAAUACAUGUGUCUGCAAUUGACGUUGUUGCUCUGAGGAAGAGGAUUGAAACAAUCUCUGUUAUAUAUAAAUGUUUAGUGAUUGCUUUGGGUUUUUUCCCUGUCUGUGAAACAUGCCAAAAGCAUUCAUAAAAGUAAUUAUCUCAUAGAAACAUUCACUGUAAAUACAGUAUAUGUCAAUGCAGUAUACAUUCAUUAAUUUAUGAGUUAGAGAAUCUUAUAGGCUUAUAAGUCAGGAAGCAGGAAACAUCAUUAAUCUUGAGAGGUGGUCUUUUCAGAAUAAAUGACAUUAUCACAGUUUGUUGAAAUUUUUAGCAGCAAUUUAAAGUAGUUUUGCAAAUUCAAUAUGUGGAAAAUUCUAGAAUUUUGAACAGUUGAGUUUAAUAAAUGGACAUCAUAUUUUAAUAUCAAUAAACUUUUUUUUUUUUUGAGACAGAUUCUCACUGUGUCACCCAGGCUGGAGUGCAGUGGCAUGAUCUCAGCUCACUGCAACUUCUACCUCCCAGGUUCAAGUGAUUCUCAUGCCUCAGCCUCCUGAGUAGCUGGGACUACAGGCAUGUGUGCCACGCCUGGUUAAUUUUUGUAUUUUUAGUAGAGAUGGGGUUUUGCCAUGUUGGCAGGCUGGUCUCCAACUCCUGGCCUCAAGUGAGUUGAGCUCCCCCCUUGACCUCUCAUAGUGCUGGGAUUACAGGCAUGAGCCACCACACCUGGCCAAUAAACUGCUUUUUAAGUCUUCAUGUCAUAUUAUAAAAAUGGGAUUCCAUGGAAACUCCUAAUGGACUCUGCUAAAGAGGGCAGGGCUGACUGUGGACUAGAGUGAAAGUCUGCAUCAUGAUCUGACCACUGUAAGUGGAGGUAGUGGACAUAGUUUAAAGGGAUAGAAGGCUGAUCACAGAAGGAGCUAAUCCCAUGUUCACGAAGCUCUUUUCUUUCAUCCUCCUGCGGGGCAGGGCGGGGCGGGGCGGGGACCCAACCUGCAUGUGUGCAGUUCACUCACAGCUCUGAUGCGCUUCAGGCACUUCUUGAGCCACAUGCGGAUGGUCUGCUUGGCCACCUCCUCCUCUAUGGUGUACUCCAGCUGCUCCCUCGCCAGGAGUUCCUCCAGCUGCAAGCUCUUCCGGAUGUCCACGGACCGGUAUGAAAGCAUGCUGGUGGGAGAAACACACCUGCAAUCGCAGCUCUGAUUCACCUGAGAUUUACACCCUUAGAUACGUCAAAAUCCAGAGAGGACAUCACUCAGUCUAAUAAGUCUAGUGUUUUGACGCCACCCCUCGCCACCCGCAUGUCUUGGGCUGGUCCUGUCACCUCUCUGUGUCUCCCUUCCCUCGUCUGUAAAACAAAGAUGAUAGAUAGUCCUGGUAACUCCUUUAUUUAAUGACUAAGUGAGUUAAUAUCUGUGAGGCUCUUAUAGUAGUAAGUGCCAUCUAAGUGCCUGUAAAGCAAAAGAUCCAGGCUAGGAAAAGGCUCGCGACUUUCUCUGCAGAAGGAAGACCGCACCUCCCAUACUUUCUUCACACUUAGCCCCCCGAGGUGAUGGUUAAUAUGCUCGGCUGUGCGUCACACAUCCCUACUCCCUGCAUCCCACUUCCCUCUCUGUUUCUCUCAUUCAUCCUUCUGUAUCUUCCUUAUUAAUUAAUUUUUUCUUUUUUUGAGAUGGAGCUUCACUCUUGUUGACCAGGCUGGAGUGUAAUGGCGUGCUGUCAGCUCACUGCAACCUCCGCCUCCUGGGUUCAAGCAUUUCUUCUGCCUCAGCCUCCCAAGUAGCUGGGAUUACAGCUUCUGGCCACAAGCAUAUUUCUGUACACCUGAGUUCUCCUGAAAUUUGAGACACAACACAAUAUCCCACACACUCCUUGUAGGUACUGCUAUGUGAUUAAAAUAGCUACUGCUAGUCAGUCGCUCUUAUUUUUUUCUGUGGCAUGGACCCCUGUGGCAGUGGAGCUUAUGGGACAUUUCUUGAAAUAAUGCUUUAAAUGCACGGAAUGAAAUACACCGUAUUACAAAGGAAACCAAUUAUAUUAAAAUACAAUUCUCAAAUUUACUUUAAAACGGCAGUGAUAAAGUAACAUAAGUAAGUGCUUCCUUUAUUAUUCCAUUAAAUAAUACCAUCUAGCAGAGCUCAAAUGACUACCAUAACUCAGAAGCACUGGUGAGCAUAAAUGAUAUUUUAAGAUGUCAGUCAAGGCAGUCAGUUAUGUCAUCUGAAAAUAUCUAUGAUUUCUCCUGGUAACAAAGACAUGGAUAUUGCUAAUGCGACUGUGGUUUGUUGCCUACGUUCAUCAUGGAAGAGAAUGACACAUUUCAAAGAGUGAUUAGUGAAAAUAAAGAUGUAAUUGUUUCCCCCUUGCAAGUCCAUGGGCCUCUGUUUUAUCCAUGGACUCCUGCUUAAGAAGCUGUUAUGGGUUAAAUGUUUCCUCCCAAAAAAAGAUAUGUUGGAGUCCUAACCUCUAGUACCUCAGAACGUAAGGUUAUUUGGAAAUAGAACAUUGCAGAUGUAAUUAGUAAUUAAGUUAAAAUGAGAUCACAGUGGAGUAGAAUGGACUCCUAAUGUAAUACGACAGAUGUUCUUAUAAAAGGAGGAAUUUGAACAUAGAUACACACACACACACACACACACACACAAACAGAAUGCCAUGUGAAGAUGAAGGGAGACCAAGCUGAUGCUUCUACAAGCCAAGGAAUGACCAACAUUGGCAGCGCACCUCCAGCAGCCAGGGGAGAGGCUAGGCUAGAUUCUCCCUCACAGGCCUCAGAAGGAAUCAGCCCCGCAAUACCUCCAUCUCGGGCUUCCAGCAUCCAGGACUUCGAGACCAUACCUUUCUGUUGUUUAAAUCCCUCAGCUUAAGGUGCUAAGUUACAGUAGCCCAAGGAAACAAAUACAGAAGUCUCCCAGGAAGAAGAAAAGGCAGAGACUCCAUUUGACCCUCUGUCCUGUCUGGGCGCUCAUGAAAUGUCUGGAAAAUCUGGUGUUUUAGCCAACGGGGCAACCAUCACAGAGCAGGCCAGGCAAAUUCUCAUCAGACCCAUGCAAGUGAGGUGCUCUGCAUGUUAGUCCCAGCUUUGCCAGAGCCCUGUAACCGCAAGCAAGUCACUCAGCUCUUCUGGGCAGUUCCCGCAUCACAGGGAAGGGGUGGGACUGUGCUCUCCCAGAUCCCUUCCACCUCUCCCCUCGGGGUGCACCUCAGUGGGCAGGGGUCCCUACGGGACAUCAGGGCACAGCCGCCCAGCCCUCCCCUGCGAGGCACCUACUUGGAAAUGUUCACUGGAGGACGGCAGGAAAGGGCACUUAGCGCCUGGGACAUGUGACCCCACUUCACGACCACAGCAGAUGUGGCAUUUUGGGUUGGAAACACACUUGUUAAUUGUACUGCAGAGGCCUUGAAGGCUGACAGCUGUGGUUUCUGGCCCCCAUUCAGCCCUGCGAAAGCCUGCCUUGUACCUCAGGACAUCAUGGAAGGUGACGUCGCCGCCAUUGUGGAGCCUCUCCAUUUCGUAGCACAUGUGCUUAAACAGGAGCUUGUCCUUGUCCAGGUCCACCUCCAGCCUCCCACGCAGUAGCCGCAGCAGGAACUUGACGCGGAACGUGGGGAUCACCCCCUGCGGGGCAGAGCACAAGAAGUAGCAAAUCAUCAGGCCUCGAUGAUUCACUUGGGUUUCUCAAAAGAAAAAAAAAAAGGUGCUAUUUCUCAAAAGCUAGCAUAAUUAGCACCAGAUGUGAAGAAAGCUGGUCACCUCCUUGGAGCCUGGUAGAAUUAAGUGCACUAAGAAGAGCAGAGGAUAGAAAACUGAGUGAUAAAUUUCUGCUGGUGCUUCUCUUUCUGGGAUGUCACCACAUUGCAGCAUUUGGAGUGAGGCAUGGGAAGCUCCCCUUCAGCCCCCCAGGACCCUACUCUUGCUCUCACCAGGCUGAUGCUUGCAUAGCCUGUCCCACAGACGCCACCUCCAACACAUGCACUGAGUGGGCCAUAAUGUACUCACACAAGGUAAUGGACAAGACACACACGUGUAAUCCUCCUCUUCACUCAAUCGGGAUGCUAGGAACGUCUCAAUGUUUAUUACAUGUUUUUCUACCAUUAAAAGAUAACUCGUGUUGGAUCAUGCCUGUAAUCUCAGCACUUUGGGAGGC
This 7836-nucleotide long non-coding RNA is filed under the name Homo sapiens (human). Its description in RNAcentral is "HSALNT0206070". Lineage: Eukaryota; Metazoa; Chordata; Mammalia; Primates; Hominidae. The record is from RNAcentral.